Molecule: long non-coding RNA, 1039 nt
Filed under: Oncorhynchus kisutch (coho salmon)
Lineage: Eukaryota; Metazoa; Chordata; Actinopteri; Salmoniformes; Salmonidae
Description: lncRNA (ENSOKIG00005014592.1)
Source: RNAcentral
AUGCAACUAGAGGCAGUGAAGGAGUUAGAGGAGCGACUGGAAGCUGUUAAAGAGGAGCGGAGCCAGCUGAAGACUGACCUUCAGGACAAUGUAGACAUGGUGAGGAAAUAUUAUGCACUGCGUUAUUCAUAAGAGACGUGAGAUUGAAAUGUGCUUGUUGCACAAAGAUUUUAAUCAGUAAUCUGCUCUUACUCUACUUUUAUGAAAUGUGUGCAUGUAAAUGCAAUUAAUUUUUUAACCAUUGUUUUAGUUGAUUGAGAAUCAAGAGGAACUAAGGGAGGCUCAAGAGAAGAUCAAAUCGCUACAGGGGAAAAUCCAACGACUUCAGACUCAGAAUGCAGAUGUUGAGACAAGAUUGAACAACAUAAAUGUUCCAGAGAAUACGUCCUGUCUAGGAGAGCUGCAAAACCAGAUAAGGCAGCUGAAUGAGGAGCUAAAGUCUGUACGAGCUGAGAGCGAGCGUCUCCUGUCUGAGACGACAGAUGGCUCUCAGAAUCAUGCAGGGGAGUUGGAGAAGCUGCUCUCUACUGUGACCUCACUGACUGAAGAGAGAGACCAGCUCCAGGAGAUACUGGAGGGAAUCCGAGAGGAGAGGAACCAGCUCAAGAGAGACCUGGAGGACAAAGUGGAGAUGAUCAUACAAGUACAUACAGAACCUAAACAUCAGCAACAUCUGUACUCAGAGCAACCGACUGAGAGGGAACAUCAAGAAGCUCAACUUCAGCAGCAAGUUAGUCUGUCUAUAAUUUUAUAUGGUGAUGUUAGAAUAUUGUUGAAACACUGGAUACCUUCAUUUGUAUUUAAAUGUUUAACUUUGGUGCAGCUAGGAGAGGAACUGGAAACCAUGACACAGGAGCGGUGUCAGUUGAAGGGUGACCUGCAGGAACAUCUGGAGAUGGCUGCAGAGACUCAGGGACUUCUCCAUUCCAUCCAAGAGGAGCUCAGACAACAGAGACAAGUGAACUCUGACCUUGAGAGCCAAAGUUUACAGAAGGAGUCUCUUCUAGAACAGCAGGUUAAUAGCCUUUUUCCUUUGUGA